This 498-nucleotide ribosomal RNA is filed under the name uncultured bacterium. RNAcentral's name for it is "partial 16S ribosomal RNA". It matches the Rfam family "Bacterial small subunit ribosomal RNA", at positions 28 to 507 of the family's 1533-position model. The record is from RNAcentral.
GACGAACGCUGGCGGCAUGCCUAAUACAUGCAAGUUGAACGAUGAUAUUCUCUGCUUGCAGAGAAUUGAAGAGUAGCGAACGGGUGAGUAACACGUGGGGAACCUGCCCAUGAGAGGGGGAUAACAUUCGGAAACGGAUGCUAAUACCGCAUAAUGCUUUGGACCGCCUGGUCCAGAGACGAAAGACGGCUUUUGCUGUCACUCAUGGAUGGCCCCGCGCCGUAUUAGCUAGUUGGUGAGGUAAUGGCUCACCAAAGCUGUGAUACGUAGCCGACCUGAGAGGGUGAUCGGCCACACUGGGACUGAGACACGGCCCAGACUCCUACAGGAGGCAGCAGUAGGGAAUCUUCCACAAUGGGCGAAAGCCUGAUGGAGCAAUGCCGCGUGAAUGAAGAAGGUCUUCGGAUCGUAAAGUUCUGUUAUUAGAGAAGAACAAGUCAAGGAGUAACUGUCUUGACUUUGACGGUACCUAACCAGAAAGUCACGGCUAACUACGUG